This is a long non-coding RNA of Pipistrellus kuhlii (Kuhl's pipistrelle), 841 nucleotides long. RefSeq lists it as uncharacterized. The record is from RefSeq and is a predicted model, not a curated record. The transcript is spliced from 2 exons. NCBI's taxonomy places the organism in Eukaryota, Metazoa, Chordata, Mammalia, Chiroptera, Vespertilionidae.
GCAUAUGCCCUUGACUGGAAUCAACCUGGACACUUCAACCCGCAGGCCAACGCUUUAUCCACUGAGCCAAACUGGCUAGGACGGUACCUCGUUUUCAAUGGUGGUUGCAAGAGCAGGCUCCUGGCAUAGAAAUGGCAUCCUUGGUCCGGUGUAAACCAUUGAGGGAUUUCUCCUGCUGUUCAGCCGGACAUCAGUGGUGCUGAUGGCAUAAAGUACAGUUCCUGGAAGCUUAGCUUCUCCAGUCUCCCAGCAGUAUGUGGGCUACUCAGGAUCCUUUUAUUAAUGCCCCUUACCCUUUAAUCAGCCAGAAUUGGCUUCCAUUUCUUGAAAGAACUUGGAUUAAUCAGAGUAUGUAAUUAUGUGCCUGUUAAUCACAGAUUCACAUGUUAGAUGCUAUAAUAGAAGUGAGCUGUGAGAAUGUACAAGACAGACAUGUAACUCAGCCUUUGUGGUCUAGAGAAGAAUUCCACAGAUAUCUGAGUUGAGUUUGAUAAGAUGAUUGUGGAUUACCUAGGCACAGAGUCUCAGAAGGGCACUCCAGGCUGAGAAACAGUGAUGCUCAAAACUACACGAUAUUUUCAAGUUGGGAAUGGGCCGAGACAAGUGGUCAGAUAGCCAAGUUGACCAAGAAGCUCCCUGAGGACUUUAUAUACCAUGCUCAAAAUUAUUUCCUUGACUAGUAGCAGGGCUAGAGCCCAGGCCUCUCAAUGUAUUGAUAUAUACUCUGAGGAUAAGGCAGAUGCCUGAAACCACCUGGGUAUGGUUUUAGGUGCCAUCAGCAGGGUGUUACCCUGUGAAUUGCUAUGAAGAGAAGAAUCAAGACUUUACAGAGGAAUGAGAG